GUUUCCAGAGGCCAAAAUGAAAGCUUUCUGUGGGAAAUUUUACUCUCUAAUUACAGAUGGAGCCUUGCUCUGUUGCCCAGGCUGGAGUGCAGUGGUGUGAUCUCGGCUCACUGCAAGCUCUGCUUCCCGGGUUCAUGCCAUUCUCCUGCCUCAGCCUCCCGAGUAGCUGGGACUACAGGCGCCCGCCACCACGCCUGGCUGAUUUUUUUGUAUGUUUUUAGUAGAGACGGGGUUUCACCAUGCUAGCCAGGAUGGUCUCGAUCUCCUUAUCUUGUGAUCCACCUGCCUCGGCCUCCCAAGAGCUGGGAUUACAGGCGGAGCCACCGCGCCCGGCCAUAAGUUACCAUUAUUAUGCUCAUUUUACAGGCACUCUUACCUGGUGGAGAGAAAACUACGCUGGGAAUAAAGAAGCAGAAAUCCAUUCUCAGUUUUUUCUCUUUUUUUGUUACAUUGCUUUGCCUUAGAAUUAUUAUGUUAGACAUUUACUGUGAAAAUUCAUCUUGUUUCUAAAAUUUCAGUAUAAAUGUAACACAAGUUAUAGCACCUCAUGAUAUAAAAUAAAUAUCAGACAUAUUCAUUGAUCAUUUAAGUGCUAUAAGAUUCUCUAAUUAUGUUUAAAAAUGGCUGAUUUAGAAAUAUAAACAUUUGUUUUAAAGCCCAGACUGUUAUUUGAUCUGAUUCUGAAUCUAGUUCUUUUUUGUGCUUAAAAAUACAGUUUGAUUUGGUUUUAGUUUUCAAAGGAGAACAUUAAAUUGAAGGUGACAUUGUCUGGAGCAUUUUUCUCUUGCCAAAGAGAGAGUAUAUGGACGAAGAGCGCAGGGAAGGCUUACACGACAGCAGUAAUUUCUAUCUGGUAUAAUAUCCCUGCAUUCAAAGAGCAAUGAGUUGUGCUUUUAGUGCAUUAGAAGACUCGUCCCCACAGGCAUGGAUAAAAAUGCAAAAGAUCUUUCCACUUGCACUUGUAUUUGGGAUUGUUUGGCAUCAGAAUACUGAGACAAGUGAGAAAGAUAUUAAGUUUGGAAUGUGGUCCCUAUCUGCCCUCGAAUUUCACAUUCACUACUCUUUUUUAAAAGCCCCCAUAAGAGACCAUUUCCAUAUUAUUCCUCUUUAUGCUAAACUUGAAUAGUCAAAUAUGACUAUUUGAAGUGUGGUCUUCAAAUAUAAGAACCCAACCUGGAAUUCAAACACAAUUGUAUAAUAAUCUUUGGGCAGAAUAGAAUGCAGCAAACUUUCAAUGAAUUGAAACACCUGCUUUACAGAUACCCCAUGGAGGACAAGACAUACACAUGUGAGCAAUUCAACAAAUUUAACAAGACCCAAUGAGCCUUGAAACUGUAAUUUAAUUCUUAAUUUCUAUGAAGUAAAUUUAGUAAUGACUGAUAAGGAUCAUCAUCAUCCACACUUAGAGAGUCAUUAACAGGAAAGUAGAAACACCUGUCCUUUUAUGUAAGGCACUCUGUUCACUUUAUCUGAGAUUUGGAGCUGCUGUCCCUUGUAUGAGAGCAAUAAAAGAAGAUUCCAGGGUUAAAGUUAUCCUAAAAAUAAAAUUCCAUACACAAAGCAUGAUGAUCAUUAAAAUCAAAUUUCAUAGCUACAAUGCUAAGGUUAACAAAUGCUUCAUAACCUGUUGUAUGGCCAGGGAUGAAUAGGCCUAGUAUGAUCUAUAUCCCCUUGGGUGAUAGUUGCUUACAUAAUGAUAGUUACAAAGAAUAGAUUUGCUUUACACAGUUGAGUUCCAGGAUAAAAUCAUGUUCUUGUAUUGGGUUUUCUUUUUUGCCAUCACAAUGAACCCCUGAGCAUUCUUUCUCUAAAAUUAAUGUUUUACUGUAAGGUUUUGUUGUUUUGUUAGACAAAGAUACUGACCAUAUUCAGAGUUCCUUAAGCCCAUAAUUGUAAGUUGAAGACUGAGAAAACUAUUCUAAUAUUGACAUUUAAUACUUAUUAGUAAAGUGAAAGAGCAAUAUUAUAAUACCCAUUUUCCUUGUCAUUUAUUUAACGUGAUUUCUCAUUUCCAUGUAAAUGCUUGAUAAAAGUUCUAACC
This 2041-nucleotide long non-coding RNA is filed under the name Homo sapiens (human). Its description in RNAcentral is "HSALNT0011955". The record is from RNAcentral. Lineage: Eukaryota; Metazoa; Chordata; Mammalia; Primates; Hominidae.